Molecule: unclassified non-coding RNA, 282 nt
Filed under: fungal sp.
Lineage: Eukaryota; Fungi
Description: partial internal transcribed spacer region
Rfam family: Eukaryotic small subunit ribosomal RNA (bases 1-46)
Source: RNAcentral
AAGUCGUAACAAGGUUUCCGUAGGUGAACCUGCGGAAGGAUCAUUAGCAAGAUUGCGACCCUCGCAAGAGGUUAGCAAGUAUGCCAUCCUUGUGCUAUGUAUACACCCGUGAGUGUGCUUGUACUUUUGUGCAUGCCUGUGGCCUCAGGGCCGUGAGUGUGCACAACGGAACACGGCAUCACUGUAUUUUACACCCAUUCUUAAACCUUCUUAACCUCUUUUUGCUUGGUAACAAGCAUCAAAAACAAUCGAAAACUGCCAGCAAUGGAUCACUCGGUUCUC